GCAUGGUAUCUUACUGAGUAUUCCUUAUACUCAUAGUAUGUUAUGCUAAAUUUUCAGAUCCAUGAUCGUUGGAUUGAUGGAAGUUAGUUGGCAAAAUCGAUGAUGGAUUAAGGACAAAGAUGUUUUGUACCGAAAGUUUCCUCUUGUAUGUUUUGUUCGAUGACUGUUUUUCCAUCUGUUUUUCUUAUGGUAUUAUGUAAAAAUAUGUACAUGACAUGAU
Molecule: long non-coding RNA, 220 nt
Filed under: Olea europaea (common olive)
Lineage: Eukaryota; Viridiplantae; Streptophyta; Magnoliopsida; Lamiales; Oleaceae
Description: long non-coding RNA (OEUR_LNC008266)
Source: RNAcentral